CGUGUAGGCGGCUGUGUAAGUCUGAUGUGAAAGCCCGGGCUCAACCCUGGAAGUGCAUUGGAUACUGCACGGCUUGAGUACUGGAGAGGAUGGGGGAAUUCCCGGUGUAGAGGUGAAAUUCGUAGAGAUCGGGAGGAAUACCAGUGGCGAAGGCGCCCAUCUGGACGGAUACUGACGCUGAGACGCGAAAGCGUGGGGAGCAAACA
This 206-nucleotide ribosomal RNA is filed under the name uncultured delta proteobacterium. RNAcentral describes it as "partial 16S ribosomal RNA". It matches the Rfam family "Bacterial small subunit ribosomal RNA", at positions 568 to 774 of the family's 1533-position model. Lineage: Bacteria; Deltaproteobacteria. The record is from RNAcentral.